This is a non-coding RNA of Strongylocentrotus purpuratus (purple sea urchin), 46 nucleotides long. The record is from Rfam. NCBI's taxonomy places the organism in Eukaryota, Metazoa, Echinodermata, Echinoidea, Camarodonta, Strongylocentrotidae.
CCAACAGUCCUUUUCAGGACUACACAUGUGCUCAAGAAAGAAAGAU